ACGCGCCUACGGGGCGCAGCAGUGGGGGAUAUUGCACAAUGGGGGGAACCCUGAUGCAGCGACGCCGCGUGGGUGAAGGAGCGUUUCGGCGCGUAAAGCCCUAUCGGCAGGGAAGAAGGAGGACGGUACCUGACUAAGAAGCCCCGGCUAACUACGUGCCAGCAGCCGCGGUAAUACGUAGGGAGCAAGCGUUAUCCGGAAUUAUUGGGGGUAAAGGGUGCGUAGACGGGAUAACAAGUUGGUUGUGAAACCCCUCGGCUCAACUGAGGAACUGCAACCAAAACUAUUAUUCUUGAGUGCAGGAG
RNAcentral lists this ribosomal RNA (305 nucleotides) under uncultured bacterium. Its description in RNAcentral is "bacterial SSU rRNA". It matches the Rfam family "Bacterial small subunit ribosomal RNA", at positions 333 to 654 of the family's 1533-position model. The record is from RNAcentral.